UACAGAGGGUGCAAGCGUUGUUCGGAAUUAUUGGGCGUAAAGGGCGCGUAGGCGGUGCCACAAGUCACCUGUGAAAUCUCCGGGCUUAACUCGGAGCCUGCAGGCGAAACUGUGGUGCUGGAGUGUGGGAGAGGAUAGCGGAAUUCCCAGUGUAGAGGUGAAAUUCGUAGAUAUUGGGAAGAACACCGGUGGCGAAGGCGGCUAUCUGGACCGACAUUGACGCUGAUGCGCGAAAGCGUGGGGAGCAAACAGG
RNAcentral lists this ribosomal RNA (253 nucleotides) under uncultured bacterium. Its description in RNAcentral is "partial 16S ribosomal RNA". It matches the Rfam family "Bacterial small subunit ribosomal RNA", at positions 524 to 776 of the family's 1533-position model. The record is from RNAcentral.